Molecule: ribosomal RNA, 427 nt
Filed under: uncultured bacterium
Lineage: Bacteria
Description: partial 16S ribosomal RNA
Rfam family: Bacterial small subunit ribosomal RNA
Source: RNAcentral
UGGGGAAUAUUGCACAAUGGGCGCAAGCCUGAUGCAGCCAUGCCGCGUGUAUGAAGAAGGCCUUCGGGUUGUAAAGUACUUUCAGCGGGGAGGAAGGCGAUAAGGUUAAUAACCUUGUCGAUUGACGUUACCCGCAGAAGAAGCACCGGCUAACUCCGUGCCAGCAGCCGCGGUAAUACGGAGGGUGCAAGCGUUAAUCGGAAUUACUGGGCGUAAAGCGCACGCAGGCGGUCUGUCAAGUCGGAUGUGAAAUCCCCGGGCUCAAACUGGGAACUGCAUUCGAAACUGGCAGGCUAGAGUCUUGUAGAGGGGGGUAGAAUUCCAGGUGUAGCGGUGAAAUGCGUAGAGAUCUGGAGGAAUACCGGUGGCGAAGGCGGCCCCCUGGACAAAGACUGACGCUCAGGUGCGAAAGCGUGGGGAGCAAACA